GAUGAACGCUGGCGGCGUGCCUAAUACAUGCAAGUCGAGCGAACAGACGAGGAGCUUGCUCCUCUGACGUUAGCGGCGGACGGGUGAGUAACACGUGGAUAACCUACCUAUAAGACUGGGAUAACUUCGGGAAACCGGAGCUAAUACCGGAUAAUAUAUUGAACCGCAUGGUUCAAUAGUGAAAGACGGUUUUGCUGUCACUUAUAGAUGGAUCCGCGCCGCAUUAGCUAGUCGGUAAGGUAACGGCUUACCAAGGCGACGAUGCGUAGCCGACCUGAGAGGGUGAUCGGCCACACUGGAACUGAGACACGGUCCAGACUCCUAAGGGAGGCAGCAGUAGGGAAUCUUCCGCAAUGGGCGAAAGCCUGACGGAGCAACGCCGCGUGAGUGAUGAAGGUCUUCGGAUCGUAAAACUCUGUUAUUAGGGAAGAACAAAUGUGUAAGUAACUAUGCACGUCUUGACGGUACCUAAUCAGAAAGCCACGGCUAACUACGUG
Molecule: ribosomal RNA, 497 nt
Filed under: uncultured bacterium
Lineage: Bacteria
Description: partial 16S ribosomal RNA
Rfam family: Bacterial small subunit ribosomal RNA
Source: RNAcentral